AGAGUUUGAUCAUGGCUCAGGACGAACGCUGGCGGCGUGCUUAACACAUGCAAGUCGAGCGAGAACCAGACCUUCGGGUCUGGGGACAGCGGCGAACGGGUGAGUAACACGUGGGCAACCUGCCCCAGAGACCGGGACAACACUUCGAAAGGGGUGCUAAUACCGGAUGACGUGACACCUGCCAAGUGGGUGUCACCAAAUGGUAGCUUCGGCCUCCGCUCUGGGAUGGGCCCGCGCCGGAUUAGCUUGUUGGUGAGGUAACGGCUCACCAAGGCGACGAUCCGUAGCUGGUCUGAGAGGACGAUCAGCCACACUGGGACUGAGACACGGCCCAGACUCCUACGGGAGGCAGCAGUGGGGAAUCUUGCGCAAUGGGCGAAAGCCUGACGCAGCAACGCCGCGUGAGCGAAGACGGCCUUCGGGUUGUAAAGCUCUGUCAGGAGGGACGAAGCCACUCGGGUGAACAGCCCAGAGGGUGACGGUACCUCCAGAGGAAGCCCCGGCUAACUACGUGCCAGCAGCCGCGGUAAUACGUAGGGGGCGAGCGUUGUCCGGAAUUAUUGGGCGUAAAGCGCGUGUAGGCGGCUCGUCAAGUCCGAUGUGAAAUCUCGGGGCUCAACCCCGAAACUGCAUUGGAAACUGGCUUGCUAGAGUCCGGAAGAGGAGAAUGGAAUUCCUGGGUGUAGCGGUGAAAUGCGCAGAUAUCAGAAGAACACCGGUGGCGAACGCAGUCUCUGGGACGGUACUGACGCUGAGACGCGAAGGCGUGGGGAGCGACAGGAUUAGAUACCCUGGUAGUCACGC
RNAcentral lists this ribosomal RNA (804 nucleotides) under uncultured bacterium. Its description in RNAcentral is "bacterial SSU rRNA". It matches the Rfam family "Bacterial small subunit ribosomal RNA", at positions 8 to 800 of the family's 1533-position model. The record is from RNAcentral.